RNAcentral lists this ribosomal RNA (445 nucleotides) under uncultured bacterium. RNAcentral describes it as "bacterial SSU rRNA". It matches the Rfam family "Bacterial small subunit ribosomal RNA", at positions 354 to 796 of the family's 1533-position model. The record is from RNAcentral.
GUGAGGAAUAUUGGUCAAUGGGCGUGAGCCUGAACCAGCCAAGUAGCGUGAGGGAUGACGGCCCUACGGGUUGUAAACCUCUUUUGCCGGGGGAUAAAGUGCGCCACUUGUGGUGUUUUGCAUGUACCCGGAGAAUAAGGACCGGCUAAUUCCGUGCCAGCAGCCGCGGUAAUACGGAAGGUCCGGGCGUUAUCCGGAUUUAUUGGGUUUAAAGGGAGCGCAGGCUGGUGCUUAAGCGUGACGUGAAAUGCCGCGGCUCAACCGUGGAAGUGCGUCGCGAACUGGGUGCCUUGAGUGAGUUCGACGCCGGCGGAAUUCGUGGUGUAGCGGUGAAAUGCUUAGAUAUCACGAAGAACCCCGAUUGCGAAGGCAGCCGGCGAGGCCUCAACUGACGCUAAAGCUCGAAGGUGCGGGUAUCGAACAGGAUUAGAAACCCGAGUAGUCC